RNAcentral lists this transfer RNA (87 nucleotides) under Ramlibacter alkalitolerans. RNAcentral's name for it is "tRNA-Leu". It matches the Rfam family "tRNA". Rfam says of the family: Transfer RNA (tRNA) molecules are approximately 80 nucleotides in length. Their secondary structure includes four short double-helical elements and three loops (D, anti-codon, and T loops). The record is from RNAcentral. Lineage: Bacteria; Pseudomonadati; Pseudomonadota; Betaproteobacteria; Burkholderiales; Comamonadaceae.
GCCCGGGUGGCGGAAUUGGUAGACGCGCUGCGUUGAGGGCGCAGUGGGGGAAACCUCGUGCGGGUUCGAGUCCCGCCUCGGGCACCA